RNAcentral lists this ribosomal RNA (2888 nucleotides) under Shigella sonnei. RNAcentral describes it as "bacterial LSU rRNA". It matches the Rfam family "Bacterial large subunit ribosomal RNA". Lineage: Bacteria; Pseudomonadati; Pseudomonadota; Gammaproteobacteria; Enterobacterales; Enterobacteriaceae. The record is from RNAcentral.
GUACACGGUGGAUGCCCUGGCAGUCAGAGGCGAUGAAGGACGUGCUAAUCUGCGAUAAGCGUCGGUAAGGUGAUAUGAACCGUUAUAACCGGCGAUUUCCGAAUGGGGAAACCCAGUGUGAUUCGUCACACUAUCAUUAACUGAAUCCAUAGGUUAAUGAGGCGAACCGGGGGAACUGAAACAUCUAAGUACCCCGAGGAAAAGAAAUCAACCGAGAUUCCCCCAGUAGCGGCGAGCGAACGGGGAGGAGCCCAGAGCCUGAAUCAGUGUGUGUGUUAGUGGAAGCGUCUGGAAAGGCGCGCGAUACAGGGUGACAGCCCCGUACACAAAAAUGCACAUAUUGUGAGCUCGAUGAGUAGGGCGGGACACGUGGUAUCCUGUCUGAAUAUGGGGGGCCCAUCCUCCAAGGCUAAAUACUCCUGACUGACCGAUAGUGAACCAGUACCGUGAGGGAAAGGCGAAAAGAACCCCGGCGAGGGGAGUGAAAAAGAACCUGAAACCGUGUACGUACAAGCAGUGGGAGCACGCUUAGGCGUGUGACUGCGUACCUUUUGUAUAAUGGGUCAGCGACUUAUAUUCUGUAGCAAGGUUAACCGAAUAGGGGAGCCGAAGGGAAACCGAGUCUUAACUGGGCGUUAAGUUGCAGGGUAUAGACCCGAAACCCGGUGAUCUAGCCAUGGGCAGGUUGAAGGUUGGGUAACACUAACUGGAGGACCGAACCGACUAAUGUUGAAAAAUUAGCGGAUGACUUGUGGCUGGGGGUGAAAGGCCAAUCAAACCGGGAGAUAGCUGGUUCUCCCCGAAAGCUAUUUAGGUAGCGCCUCGUGAAUUCAUCUCCGGGGGUAGAGCACUGUUUCGGCAAGGGGGUCAUCCCGACUUACCAACCCGAUGCAAACUGCGAAUACCGGAGAAUGUUAUCACGGGAGACACACGGCGGGUGCUAACGUCCGUCGUGAAGAGGGAAACAACCCAGACCGCCAGCUAAGGUCCCAAAGUCAUGGUUAAGUGGGAAACGAUGUGGGAAGGCCCAGACAGCCAGGAUGUUGGCUUAGAAGCAGCCAUCAUUUAAAGAAAGCGUAAUAGCUCACUGGUCGAGUCGGCCUGCGCGGAAGAUGUAACGGGGCUAAACCAUGCACCGAAGCUGCGGCAGCGACGCUUAUGCGUUGUUGGGUAGGGGAGCGUUCUGUAAGCCUGCGAAGGUGUGCUGUGAGGCAUGCUGGAGGUAUCAGAAGUGCGAAUGCUGACAUAAGUAACGAUAAAGCGGGUGAAAAGCCCGCUCGCCGGAAGACCAAGGGUUCCUGUCCAACGUUAAUCGGGGCAGGGUGAGUCGACCCCUAAGGCGAGGCCGAAAGGCGUAGUCGAUGGGAAACAGGUUAAUAUUCCUGUACUUGGUGUUACUGCGAAGGGGGGACGGAGAAGGCUAUGUUGGCCGGGCGACGGUUGUCCCGGUUUAAGCGUGUAGGCUGGUUUUCCAGGCAAAUCCGGAAAAUCAAGGCUGAGGCGUGAUGACGAGGCACUACGGUGCUGAAGCAACAAAUGCCCUGCUUCCAGGAAAAGCCUCUAAGCAUCAGGUAACAUCAAAUCGUACCCCAAACCGACACAGGUGGUCAGGUAGAGAAUACCAAGGCGCUUGAGAGAACUCGGGUGAAGGAACUAGGCAAAAUGGUGCCGUAACUUCGGGAGAAGGCACGCUGAUAUGUAGGUGAAGUCCCUUGCGGAUGGAGCUGAAAUCAGUCGAAGAUACCAGCUGGCUGCAACUGUUUAUUAAAAACACAGCACUGUGCAAACACGAAAGUGGACGUAUACGGUGUGACGCCUGCCCGGUGCCGGAAGGUUAAUUGAUGGGGUCAGCGCAAGCGAAGCUCUUGAUCGAAGCCCCGGUAAACGGCGGCCGUAACUAUAACGGUCCUAAGGUAGCGAAAUUCCUUGUCGGGUAAGUUCCGACCUGCACGAAUGGCGUAAUGAUGGCCAGGCUGUCUCCACCCGAGACUCAGUGAAAUUGAACUCGCUGUGAAGAUGCAGUGUACCCGCGGCAAGACGGAAAGACCCCGUGAACCUUUACUAUAGCUUGACACUGAACAUUGAGCCUUGAUGUGUAGGAUAGGUGGGAGGCUUUGAAGUGUGGACGCCAGUCUGCAUGGAGCCGGCCUUGAAAUACCACCCUUUAAUGUUUGAUGUUCUAACGUGGACCCGUGAUCCGGGUUGCGGACAGUGUCUGGUGGGUAGUUUGACUGGGGCGGUCUCCUCCUAAAGAGUAACGGAGGAGCACGAAGGUUGGCUAAUCCUGGUCGGACAUCAGGAGGUUAGUGCAAUGGCAUAAGCCAGCUUGACUGCGAGCGUGACGGCGCGAGCAGGUGCGAAAGCAGGUCAUAGUGAUCCGGUGGUUCUGAAUGGAAGGGCCAUCGCUCAACGGAUAAAAGGUACUCCGGGGAUAACAGGCUGAUACCGCCCAAGAGUUCAUAUCGACGGCGGUGUUUGGCACCUCGAUGUCGGCUCAUCACAUCCUGGGGCUGAAGUAGGUCCCAAGGGUAUGGCUGUUCGCCAUUUAAAGUGGUACGCGAGCUGGGUUUAGAACGUCGUGAGACAGUUCGGUCCCUAUCUGCCGUGGGCGCUGGAGAACUGAGGGGGGCUGCUCCUAGUACGAGAGGACCGGAGUGGACGCAUCACUGGUGUUCGGGUUGUCAUGCCAAUGGCACUGCCCGGUAGCUAAAUGCGGAAGAGAUAAGUGCUGAAAGCAUCUAAGCACGAAACUUGCCCCGAGAUGAGUUCUCCCUGACCCUUUAAGGGUCCUGAAGGAACGUUGAAGACGACGACGUUGAUAGGCCGGGUGUGUAAGCGCAGCGAUGCGUUGAGCUAACCGGUACUAAUGAACCGUGAGGCUUAACCUU